Molecule: long non-coding RNA, 2304 nt
Organism: Seriola aureovittata
Lineage: Eukaryota; Metazoa; Chordata; Actinopteri; Carangiformes; Carangidae
Exons: 2
Source: RefSeq, a predicted model, not a curated record
UAUCGUUUCAGCAGUAGAUUACAGGCUGGAAACAAGAAAUUUCCCUCUACGUUUUCUCUCAUGUGGCAUGCAGUUGUAUGGGUUUCUAACAUCUAAGUCCCUUAAAUGGGAACCAAACACUGACAAAAAGGCUUAAAUGAUGAAAAGAUGCAUUUACUGAAACUACUUUUAUUUUUGUAUACAUAGUAAAAACAGUAUUAACAGUCAACACUUCAAAACAAGCUGAAGAUUAGAAGAAAAUGUGGUUUUACAAUAAUCUCUGAAAGUACAAUCUGUAAUCAAAGUAUGGCACAAAACAGCCCCAUGUACAAUCCAUAUUGUGCUUUCUGUGUUUUGGUUUUAUCAGUGUAACAAAAUAAUUUAUCCUCUUUAGGAACUAUAUUAAUAUUAUGUAAUACUGUUUUUUGCAUCAACACAAUGAUUGAUUUACCCAUUCAUCCACUCUUGUGAAUUUAUAACACUACUUUAUGCACUCUCCAAAAAUCUCUUCUAUUCUCUUUAAGUUUUAUUAUUGUACACAACUGAAUUAAAGUUUACAUCAAACAAAAACAGUAAAAUCACACGAGGAAGCAAAAAAAAAAAAAAAAAAAUCUCUACGUGAAACAUGUUACUGCUUCUCCACUAUUGUCUGAUAUAGUCAGUGCUGAUUAUUACAGUGCAUGUAAUAAAAACGUAGUGUGAAGUAACUCAUUCAUCCUUAAAAUGUUACAACUAAAGAACAAGAGCAGUAAUAAAAGCUGGGCUCAUCACAGCUCAAAUGUAGUAAUUCUGCAGCAUUAAAUGGCACCUGAAAUCUAAUGUUUUCACCAGCCUUGAGUGAGAAAGCUGUAGCUCUGUACAGCAAUCUAUCAUUCAAAGUGCAGCUUGACCCUGCCGGCUAUACAAAAAAACUACAAAAACAGUUCCAUACCCCAUUUUUGUUUGGUAGCUGGAAGAAAACAAUUGGCACUUGAGAGUAGAUUUUGUUGGUAUGACAUGGCGUUCCUUUCACAAAAUAUGUGAAAACUACAAAGGCAAAAAAAAAAUCAAAUCUAGUGACAUUGAUUGUAUUAAAGGCACAACUACAGCAUUUCUCAAUGUUGAACAAUCAUGAGUUUUGAAUUGUAAUGACUGUUCACCCUGACAAGUCUCUCAUAAACACUGUUGGUGUCAUAUUCAGCAACUUAGACACUAGUAAGGCAUUCAACAACAGCAUCAUAAAAGCAUAUUUUGAAAUGAUAAUAAGCUGAAUUACAUUUUGAUAUGGUGAGGUGAGUUAGUAUAAGCAGUUAGACGGGGCAAAAAAUACUGUCAACACAUAAAUUCAGCACUGUAUGACUAUUACCAAUUCAACCAUAACAUCCUGUCACACCCAGGGCUUAAAGUGUCACUCAUUAUGGCACUAGAGGACAUUUGUGAAGCUCUAACUUACGAUGUUCUUCAUUCAAACAUUUCUAUAUUAACAUUUACAAAGAAAAUGAGAAGGACUUCUUAUAUUACAAAAAUUAAAGAAUCCAAAAUAUACAGCGUUUUUUUUAAAUCUGAUAUUCAUUCCCAUCAUACACUGAGAGGAAUGUAAGCAGUUCAACACAUCUUACACCAUAUAUAUAUAUAUCUAUAUAUAUAUACUGUAUAUAUAAUGAAUGCCAUACUCUGAAGGUUUUUCAGGUAUGGUAACAAUGAUGUGCACAGGUAUCCCUCUAAACAGAUUAUAUCAAUAGAAAAUAAUAAUGAGCCAUGAAAACAUUCUGCAACAUUUAGUUUAGGAUGAAAUGCAAAUGAGACAAAGUAAUAGUGAGUUGAUUUAAAUGCUGUAUGUUUUGCUCCUUUUAUCUUGCUUUGAUAAUAGCUUAGCAGAGCCCCCCUGAGAGUGAGGUAUGAUAUCCAAAAAACUCACAUUUUAUGGAUCUCAUAACCCUGGUCCCAAAUCACCCUCUAUGCCCUGUUAUAUAGUAAUGAGUCGCUACAAUCUUAAAGUUUAAAGCAAGAGAAGAAUCUAAUGUAGGCAAACAGAGAAUGAGGUGAGGCCACAUCCUCUACAUCUCUGGCUGGAAGGGUGUGUUUUGUUUAUUUACGACCACCACAACUUGUGCUCUCCAUCAGACCUGCAGCCUGUUGUCAAGAUUGAUGUGAGCAGCAGCUGGUGAGAAGUAGCCCUUCACACACACAGUGUUUUUAAAUGAAUGUCAAACUUUUUUUUCUGGGUAUACUGUGCCCAAGACCUGGACUUUAAGUAGCCCUCCAUGAGUAAAACUAAGUACAUACGCACAGUAUGUUUGAGACUAGUUGAGUCCCAAUUAUCUACCCGUCAACCCCCCCCCCCCC